CCCGCAUGAUGACAUCCGGGAAUGCGGCAGACUGCCGACUGCACAGUGAGAAAGCCAACCUUGGAGAGCUGAGCGUGUG
Small nucleolar RNA from Nycticebus coucang (slow loris), 79 nucleotides. The record is from RefSeq and is a predicted model, not a curated record. NCBI's taxonomy places the organism in Eukaryota, Metazoa, Chordata, Mammalia, Primates, Lorisidae.